Molecule: RNA transcript, 2949 nt
Organism: Raphanus sativus (radish)
Lineage: Eukaryota; Viridiplantae; Streptophyta; Magnoliopsida; Brassicales; Brassicaceae
Gene name: protein LIGHT-DEPENDENT SHORT HYPOCOTYLS 10
Exons: 9
Source: RefSeq, a predicted model, not a curated record
UUCACCCUCUCAUCAAACUCACUCACUCAACAUUUCAUUUUUCUUAUUACCUAAUUCAUUAGAUCCAUGUAUAAAACACAAAACGAUCCCUUGAACUUCACCAGCAUCUCUAUCUCUCUACACUGAACAAGAUAUCAUAUAUCAUGUCAUCUCCUAGAGAUAGAGGAAAGAGCUUGAUGGAAUCAUCAGGAUCAGAGCCACCGGUGACACCAAGCCGUUACGAGUCACAGAAGAGACGCGACUGGAACACUUUCGGACAGUACUUGAAGAACCAGAGACCGUCGGUGCCUAUGUCACACUGCAACUGCAACCACGUGCUUGAUUUCCUUAGGUACUUAGACCAGUUCGGUAAGACAAAGGUGCACGUGCCUGGCUGUAUGUUUUACGGCCAGCCUGAGCCACCAGCUCCUUGCACGUGCCCUCUCAGGCAAGCUUGGGGAAGUCUCGACGCUUUGAUCGGACGGCUGAGAGCGGCUUACGAGGAGAACGGUGGUUCUCAGGAAACAAACCCUUUCGCUAGUGGAGCAAUAAGGGUUUAUCUGAGGGAGGUUAGGGAGUGUCAGGCUAAGGCUAGAGGUAUUCCUUACAAGAAGAAGAAGAAGAAAAAGCCAACGAUCGAGAUGAGUGGUGGAAGAGACGACUCUUCUUCUUCCUCUUCCUUCAACUUCAUGGUGAAAGACUUUGUGGUCUUCAAACGAACAGGAAACUUUGUGUGGACCAGAAAUUGGGCCUUUUCUUACAAUCUCCACCUAAGGCCCAUAUUGCUGUCCACACCAUAUGGCCCAACUGCUUUUACCUUGCCGUUGGAAACGUCGACGAACCUUGGAGCGUUUCUUCUCCGUCUUUGAGUUACUCCAUAGACCACUCCACCUGAAGAUCCUCAGUCACCAUCAAUCACCAUCGUCAUGCUCCUUGUCCUCCUCGAAGCCGUGAUGAAUUCUAUCAGCGAAUCCCCUUCGCCAUAGCUCCGUGUAGCCCGUACACCGCUACUUCUUCUUCAACCUUUUCCGGCUUCGAUUCAUAUUUGCUCGAGAUCGACUUAACUUUCCAAUCCUCAGCUCUCUCAUUCAAUCACAUCAACUACUCUUCCAUGUUGAUGGAUGAACUGUGUCAAUCUUGCUGGAUUAUUAUAUUACUCCGCUGAGAUACUCUGUCUCCCUUCAGCUUCCAUAGCUGUUUAAGACGUUCUCUUCUCAGGAUGCUCCACCUCGAACUGAAAACAAUUUGGUCUCCUCUUGUUGUUCAACGGAGAUGCCUUAAAGGCAAUCUGUUUUUGCAUCCCCACCUGCAACUGAUAUCACCUUCUCUCUCCCUUUGAUGCUUCCUUUGAUAGUGAAGUUUUAAUGCAAUUCUGAAAGAAUCCUUGCAUCUUCUGGCAUUCUUCUCCAAUACCACCGACCCUUUGUAGUCUCAGCUUCUCCGACGGACCACCGCGUCUCCUCAGCUGUGCUGCUGAUAACUCCAUCAGCUCCUCUUCAGUUACUGUAUCUCGUUCCUAUUUCCAUGGGAUUCCCUGCGACAGUCUUGAUGAUUUUCCUUCCUGCCAGUUUUAGCUUUUAUAGAAUCUUCGAUGAUCAGUCGAAGUUACUUUGUUGCUAAACAAUCUCAGACCUUGUCGUAGCAUGAACACCAAGCAUGUGUUCUCCUCUUUGAUGAUCUUAGAUUUGACGAGUUCAAUUUUCCACAGUGCUCCUUUUCUCUCACUGCUCCAGCUCCACCUUAAGCUAUUGUUCAUGAACAUUUGCUGUUUCUUUGAUAUCGUCUUCUCCGAAGUACUCCUUUGAUAUCAAUUAUUUUUCAUGCCAGCUGCUUUUGACGGAAAAAAAAUAAUUCCUCUCCUGCUCCUUGAGACUUUAAGCUCCACCUGGAAACGAUGUCUAUACAUCCGACCCGACUACUGACUCUUACCAGGUCUUCAAACGAACAGGAAACUUUGUGUGGACCAGAAAUUGGGCCUUUUCUUACAAUUCGGAGAAAGUGGAAGACAUUCAUGUCUUUCAGAUGAUUAAAGGAGAUAGAUUAACGUCUCUGUUUAAUCUCUAACGCGGACUUUUUUAUGGGUUUAAUUUUGUUAAGUCAACUAAGAUUUGAGGAAUUAUUUUGCUUACACAAUAGUUGGAGCAUUAAACUGUUAAUUUCAAAUACUUGAGGAAUUAAAUGGUCAUUUUCCCGUAUCCGGGUCGGGUUUCAAAACAUUGCGUAAAACUCAUUAGAGAGUAAGGAGAAACAAACUCAUGGGAGUUUAUUGGACGACAGAGUUAGGCCCAUUAACUAUGUUAUGGACUUUAAGAAACCUAAUACUCAUUUGAAAAUUUUCGUCCAUCUUCUUCACUUCCCUCCUAAACCCUGAAUCGCAAAGCCCUAAGAGCACCAUUAUCGGUGUAUCUAAGCCUCGGGCCUUAGUCAUUAUGAGUCGAAAAAUAAAUCAAAAACACUUUAAAACAUUACAAACGGAUCUUAAUUAAGAAGUUUUGGCCUUGGUCCUUAGAGCAACGUGGCAGCAGCCGAUUGGGUAUCGAAAUCACUCUAAACCGCCGUCGCUCUCAUCCCACCCUCCGCUGCGUCCUCUCCGUCACUCCCCAAUCGACAAAUCCCCCUCCCCAAUCGACAAAUCCUCCACAGAAAUCUCAGACUUUUCGGCUGCCCUGAUGGAGUUUUGAGUGGAAAUAUCCUCACUUUCAUCUGUUUUUUUCUUUCAGGUAGUAAAAGAAGCUUCGAUGAUCUCGAAGACGAUGAAGAUGACAUCUUCGGAUCCAAAAAGGUACCCCUUUUUUUUCUUAAAUCAUAACAACAUUUGAAAAGUUUUGGACUUUCUAUAUGUUUCUUACUUUUAGAGUUUGCCCACUUUUGCUUCUUAAUGUAUAUACUGAUUUUGCUGGCAAUCACUUUCUCUUGUUCUCUCAUAUUGCUAAGACUAUAGUUUGUGUUCAUGAGAAACUUGUUGUUUUA